RNAcentral lists this ribosomal RNA (449 nucleotides) under uncultured bacterium. RNAcentral's name for it is "partial 16S ribosomal RNA". It matches the Rfam family "Bacterial small subunit ribosomal RNA", at positions 29 to 523 of the family's 1533-position model. The record is from RNAcentral.
AACGAACGCUGGCGGCAGGCCUAACACAUGCAAGUCGAACGCUGUAGCAAUACAGAGUGGCAGACGGGUGAGUAACGCGUGGGAACAUGCCCUUCGGUUCGGAAUAACUCAGGGAAACUUGAGCUAAUACCGGAUACGCCCUUAGGGGGAAAGAUUUAUUGCCGAAGGAUCGGCCCGCGGCCGAUUAGCUAGUUGGUGUGGGAAUGGCGCACCAAGGCGACGAUCGGUAGCUGGUCUGAGAGGGGGAUCAGCAACACUGGGACUGAGACACGGCCCAGACUCCAACGGAAGGGAGCGGUGGGAAAUAUUGAACAAUGGGCGCAAGCCUGUUCCAGCCAUGCCGCGUGAGUGAUGAAGGCCCUAGGGUUGUAAAGCUCUUUCGCCAGGGACGAUAAUGACGGUACCUGGAUAAGAAGCCCCGGCUAACUUCGUGCCAGCCGCCGCAGUAA